AACGAACGUUAGCGGCGCGCCUAACACAUGCAAGUCGAACGCGACUGGGGGCAACUCCAGUUGAGUGGCGCACGGGUGAGUAACACGUAGGUAAUCUCCCCUCGAGUGGUGGAUAACCUUCCGAAAGGAGGGCUAAUACAGCAUAAGACCACGGCCUCGAAAGAGGCUGAGAUCAAAGCGGAGGAUCGCAAGACUUCGCGCUUGAGGAUGAGCCUGCGGCCCAUCAGGUAGUUGGCGGAGUAACAGCCCACCAAGCCUAAGACGGGUAGCUGGUCUGAGAGGAGGAUCAGCCACACUGGAACUGAGACACGGUCCAGACUCCUACGGGAGGCAGCAGUGGGGAAUCUUGCGCAAUGGACGAAAGUCUGACGCAGCGACGCCGCGUGGGUGAUGAGGGCCUUCGGGUUGUAAAGCCCUGUGGGGAGGGACGAAUAAGUUGCAGCUAAUACCUGCAGCGAUGACGGUACCUCCUUAGCAAGCACCGGCUAACUCUGUGCCAGCCGCCGCCGUAA
Molecule: ribosomal RNA, 512 nt
Filed under: uncultured bacterium
Lineage: Bacteria
Description: partial 16S ribosomal RNA
Rfam family: Bacterial small subunit ribosomal RNA
Source: RNAcentral